AAUUCNCNAACCUUCUUGGUUUCUUGAUCAAGAUGGCUUUGGANNNUNGNGGCAUUUGCUGGCUUUGUGAAAAGCCAGCUCCUCUUGAAUGCAUUAGUGGGGUCCCCUUUGCCGAUCCCCAGGCGUGAUAAGAUGUUUCUACGUCUUGGGAUUUGCUCUGUUCCUUGGGAACCCGCUUCUAACCGUCUCAUGGAAGACAUUGUUCGAGCUUGCUCGACCCACGAA
Molecule: unclassified non-coding RNA, 225 nt
Filed under: uncultured Russula
Lineage: Eukaryota; Fungi; Basidiomycota; Agaricomycetes; Russulales; Russulaceae
Description: sequence contains ITS2
Source: RNAcentral